UGGGGAAUCUUGGACAAUGGGCGCAAGCCUGAUCCAGCCAUGCCGCGUGAGUGACGAAGGCCUUAGGGUUGUAAAGCUCUUUUGGCGGGGACGAUAAUGACGGUACCCGCAGAAUAAGCCCCGGCUAACUUCGUGCCAGCAGCCGCGGUAAUACGAAGGGGGCUAGCGUUGUUCGGAAUUACUGGGCGUAAAGCGCACGUAGGCGGAUUUGUCAGUCAGGGGUGAAAUCCCGAGGCUCAACCUCGGAACUGCCUCCGAUACAGCAAGUCUCGAGUCCGGAAGAGGUGAGUGGAAUUCCUAGUGUAGAGGUGAAAUUCGUAGAUAUUCGCAGGAACACCAGUGGCGAAGGCGACUUGCUGGACUUAUGGUGACGCUGAGACGCGAAAGCGUGGGGAGCAAACAGGAUUAGAUACCCCAGUAGUCCCUGAGCGGGCUGGCAAGGCGCAU
This 447-nucleotide ribosomal RNA is filed under the name uncultured bacterium. RNAcentral describes it as "bacterial SSU rRNA". It matches the Rfam family "Bacterial small subunit ribosomal RNA", at positions 355 to 825 of the family's 1533-position model. The record is from RNAcentral.